This 60-nucleotide transfer RNA is filed under the name Echinogammarus berilloni. RNAcentral describes it as "tRNA-Lys". The record is from RNAcentral. Lineage: Eukaryota; Metazoa; Arthropoda; Malacostraca; Amphipoda; Gammaridae.
CAUUAAGUGGCCGAAUAGGUGUAAGUCUUUUAAACUUAUUAUAGUUUUACUCUUAGUGAA